RNAcentral lists this ribosomal RNA (253 nucleotides) under uncultured bacterium. Its description in RNAcentral is "partial 16S ribosomal RNA". It matches the Rfam family "Bacterial small subunit ribosomal RNA", at positions 524 to 776 of the family's 1533-position model. The record is from RNAcentral.
GACGAGCCACACGAACGUUAUUCGGAAUUACUGGGCUUAAAGGGUGCGUAGGCGGUGCGGAAAGUUGGGUGUGAAAUCCCUCGGCUCAACCGAGGAACUGCGCCCAAAACUACCGUACUUGAGGAAGAUAGAGGUGAGCGGAACUCACGGUGGAGCGGUGAAAUGCGUUGAUAUCGUGAGGAACACCCGUGGCGAAAGCGGCUCACUGGGUCUUUUCUGACGCUGAUGCACGAAAGCUAGGGGAGCAAACGGG